GUGUCAGCCGCCGCGGUAAUACGAAGGGGGCUAGCGUUGUUCGGAAUUACUGGGCGUAAAGGGCGUGUAGGCGGCCCGCUAAGUCAGGUGUGAAAGGCCUGGGCUCAACCCAGGAAAUGCGCCUGAGACUGACGGGCUUGAAUCCGGGAGAGGAUGGUGGAACUCCCAGUGUAGAGGUGAAAUUCGUAGAUAUUGGGAAGAACACCCGUGGCGAAGGCGGCCAUCUGGACCGGUAUUGACGCUAAGGCGCGACAGCGUGGGGAGCAAACAGGAUUAGAUACCCUGGUAGUCCACGCCGUAAACGAUGAGUGCUAGACGUUGGGAAGCCUAGCUUUUCAGUGUCGCAGCUAACGCAUUAAGCACUCCGCCUGGGGAGUACGGCCGCAAGGUUGAA
Molecule: ribosomal RNA, 394 nt
Filed under: uncultured bacterium
Lineage: Bacteria
Description: bacterial SSU rRNA
Rfam family: Bacterial small subunit ribosomal RNA
Source: RNAcentral